Long non-coding RNA from Micropterus dolomieu (smallmouth bass), 266 nucleotides. RefSeq lists it as uncharacterized. Lineage: Eukaryota; Metazoa; Chordata; Actinopteri; Centrarchiformes; Centrarchidae. The record is from RefSeq and is a predicted model, not a curated record. The transcript is spliced from 2 exons.
CUGUUGCGUCCAGAGAGCAGAGGAACGCCGGCUCCUCCUGCGCUCCCUCGCCGACCCCGGCAGGAACCCCAACCUUAAUACUGAAGUACCAACAGUGGCCCCUGCUUCAGAGUGUGAAACAGACUCUUUAAGGAGCCGGUUACAAACUGAUGAGCCGCCGCCAACCUGGAACAGAGAGACCGGCUCCGUCGUCACAUCAUCAUCAUCCACACCGGCUGCCAUCAACACGAUGAGCGAGCGCAGUAAAUACAUCUCUAUAAUGUUUA